This 450-nucleotide ribosomal RNA is filed under the name uncultured bacterium. Its description in RNAcentral is "bacterial SSU rRNA". It matches the Rfam family "Bacterial small subunit ribosomal RNA", at positions 354 to 796 of the family's 1533-position model. The record is from RNAcentral.
GUGGGGAAUAUUGGACAAUGGGCGAAAGCCUGAUCCAGCCAUGCCGCGUGUGUGAAGAAGGUCUUCGGAUUGUAAAGCACUUUAAGUUGGGAGGAAGGGCAGUAAGUUAAUACCUUGCUGUUUUGACGUUACCAACAGAAUAAGCACCGGCUAACUUCGUGCCAGCAGCCGCGGUAAUACGAAGGGUGCAAGCGUUAAUCGGAAUUACUGGGCGUAAAGCGCGCGUAGGCGGUUUUGUAAGUUGGAGGUGAAAUCCCCGGGCUCAACCUGGGAACUGCCUCCAAAACUGCAUGACUAGAGUACGGUAGAGGGUAGUGGAAUUUCCUGUGUAGCGGUGAAAUGCGUAGAUAUAGGAAGGAACACCAGUGGCGAAGGCGACUACCUGGACUGAUACUGACACUGAGGUGCGAAAGCUAGGGGAGCAAACGGGAUUAGAAACCCUUGUAGUCC